CACACGGUGACUCCCUUCAGAAGAGCGCAGUUUGGAUGGCAGUGGAGGAGGGAGUGACUUCACAGGAGAGGAACCUGACAAACGCUGCCUCAGCCAGUGAGCAAGGUCAGCGUCAUCAGUCACCAAUUGUGUGGAGACUGUGGACACUUGACAUCACGGCAGGAGAAUGGGAGUCUGUGGUCUCCUCCCCCAAACUCAUGAGCUUGUAAUUGUGACAGAAGCACCAGACAGAUUUCAGUAGAGCAGUGUGAUGGUUAGUUCUCUGUGACAACUCAGCUAGUCCUCAGCACCCGGUUAUUCAAUCAAACACUCAUCUAGGUACUGCUGUGAAGGUACUUUGUACAUGGGAUGAACAUCUCCGAUCUGUUGACUCUAAGCAAAGGAGACGAUCUCGAUACUCUGGUUGGUCCUCAUCCAAUGAGUUGAAUGGCCUUAAGAACAAAACCAAAGGUUCCCCAAGGAAGAAGAAAGUCUACCUACGGAUGGCAGUGCCAGCGCCUCCCUGCAGACUUUGGACUUGCAUAACCAGCCCCCACAAUUGAUAAGCCAAUUCCUUGGCAAUAAAGCGGAUCUGCACAGGCGGUGCAUCCUUGUAUCCACCAUGGUGAGAGUGUUAGUGAGCAUGAAGGUGCAGCACUCCCCUGGGUAUUAGCACCCCACGUACCUCAGCAACGGAAUCCUUAUUGCCAUCUGGACGGUAAGUGAUCCAAUUCCAAUUCCUGGGGAUCUGCUUCCUACGACCACUUCAGAUACUAACCGUAUUUUUGGGGGUUCCCCCUAGAAGUAGAACCUGAGUCAAGGAUUCAAAGGCAAGUAUUUACUUGAGAAAUGAUGCUGGGAAUCACCAGCAAGCAAAUGGGAAAGUGACACAGGGAAGAAGAGGAGGCCAAUAAAGGAUGUGCUAUCAAGCAAGUUAGGAGGGUGGACAACUGGAACUUAAUCCUGCUGGGGAACUCAGGGAGCGAGGAAUAAUGUGAGACUCAGGACCACCCCACCUGAGGGAUGAGAGAGCUGGGAUAUUUAUCCCCCAAUCCCAAUCAGUUAUUGGCUGAGGGUUGCUACGGAUGGGCAGCAGGGAAGACAGACUGUGCCUCCAUUUCCCCCACCUUCCUGUAAAAGAUGCAACCAACUUUGCAGGGCCCUGCUGGGAUUGCAGAGGGUUGAUGGCACCAUGUAACAAUGCUGGCAGCCAAGGGGUUAACCCUCAGGCCAGCUGCCCCUGGGCUGAUGUGAGGUAGGACUGGAGGGGGGGGCGGAGAGGGGGGGCGGGGAAGCAGUGCCUUGGCUCCAUCCCCUCCAGUUUCAUGGGCACCAGCUCUACCGCUGGGAACUUCCACAGCGCCCAGGCCCGUAGCUGCCAGUCUACUCUCCAUUCACUGUCCUGAGUGGUUCCAGGCGCCGAGCUUCUAAGGCUUGUUCUGGUUUCCCAUCCCCCACCCGAGGCGCCGUUGACUCCGCCGGCUGGUGCAGACAAAUCAAGCCCGGAGUGCAGACAAAUACGCAGUGUCUCCGACUGCUCCUUGGCCUCCUGGGUCAGCAGCGUAGAGCCACCUGCGCUUUCUGAACGCAGACCUGGCCUUGGCCUCGCUGGCAAGACCGAUACAAAAUGCGUUAGGGUAGGGGAGCUGGGAUGAGGGCACAGGAGGUGAGGACCUCCAUUCCCCAAGCAGCGCGGGAGAAAUCGGAGAGACACCAUGGAUCACAGGUCAGAAACAAGGGAGGAGAGGCGUCGGAGAUCAGAGACGCGAGGCGAGGGCUCCGGGCCUUGAGUGUGGGGUGGACAGACCAGAUGCCCCCUCUUCCUCCUUCCAAUCGAUGCCUCUUCCAGGGACCCCCUCUGCCCUCCCUGGGGCCUCGGCCCUCUCCCCAUCCCCCUAAAAUCCUGCACCCUCUGCGGAUUGGUCCCCGGCCUGCAGGGGGGCGGGGCCCGAGGGCCCUGACGUCACCGGUCGAGGGGGGCGGGCGACUGGGGGA
This 1974-nucleotide long non-coding RNA is filed under the name Equus asinus (donkey). RNAcentral describes it as "lncRNA (ENSEASG00005028823.1)". The record is from RNAcentral. Lineage: Eukaryota; Metazoa; Chordata; Mammalia; Perissodactyla; Equidae.